Nicotiana tabacum (common tobacco) is the source of this 1652-nucleotide long non-coding RNA. RefSeq lists it as uncharacterized. The record is from RefSeq and is a predicted model, not a curated record. NCBI's taxonomy places the organism in Eukaryota, Viridiplantae, Streptophyta, Magnoliopsida, Solanales, Solanaceae.
ACAAAACAAUCUGAUUCUGAGAUGGAUUCCGAUUAGAAACUGGAGGCUCUGAUCGCGAUUUCUUUUCCAAGUGCCUCUCGCAACUUGAAAUUUCCGGCACCGGAAUUUGCGGCAUUGCUGGGAUUCUUUUCUAUUAAUCGAUUUUUUUGGAAGUAUGAACGACCAAGACCAUAGGAUCAUGAUAACCACUCGGCAAGAACAUGUGCCAUACUGAUCUGAAUGCUUUUGUAGUAUUUUUCAGUUUAUAUCUUGAAUAUUUGAUAUAUUAGCUAAGUUUUCUGGGACUGCUUCAAGUUUGCUAUAAGAUAUAGAACAAGUUGCUUUAGCCUAGGAAAGUUGCCAUUUUAAGCCCUCUAGGUUUUCAAGUUUGUCCUUCAAUCCGCAACACUAAGAGACUAAAGAGGCCACCAAUGUCUGGCUUCUAUGAAUGCAUUUUCUUUUAACUUUAGGACUUCAAGGACAUUGAUUUCUCUUACAAUAGUUAGUUCGCUCCCCUCUAACUGGUUCCAGAGAAGGUCAGCUUCCUCCGGGUUUUCAGAAGUAUGAAGGUCAACUUCCUCAGGGUUUUCAGAAGUAUGAAUAACCAAGACCACAUGAACAUGGUAACUAUUUGGCAAGCAAAUGUCACAACUUAUUUCAAUGCAAAUAUCCGUAAGAGAGUUUUCAGAAGAUGAUGAAAGCUGAAUUUUGCUAGAAUAAAGUUUUCAAGUCUAAAAGUUGCACUCAAGUAAUGAGUAACAAGAACAAGGAAAAAUCAUAACUGAAAAAUAUAGUGGACUACCACUUAUUCUGAAAAAUAUAGUGGAGUUACAAGCUCAGGUAGUCCAUCAUAUUUUUCCUUGUUCUUCUAACUCAGUAUUUGAGCAACUUUCAAACUUGAAAACCUUUUUAAAAGCAAAAUCCAACUUUAAUCAUCUUCUAGAAACUUUAGCUUAUUAAUAUUUGCAUUGCAAUAAGUUGACAUAUCUUCUUGCCGAGUGGUUAACAUGAAUUUGUGGCCUUGGUUGUUCAUACUUAUGAAGAUCCAGACGAAUCGAUUUCUUUGAAGUCUUAGAGUUGAAAGAGAAUGUAUUAAUGGGAUUCAUUGAUGGUCUCCAUAGUUAUGUGGAUUGAAGGACAAACUUGAAAAAACUCAAGGGCUUCGAAUCGCAACUUUCUGGGCUAAAGCAACUUGUUCUUAUGUCUUUUGGAAGCUUCAAGCAAUACCAGAAUGCUUGGCUGAUGUAUUCAACCUUCAAAGAUAUGAAACUGAAAAAUACUAUAAGAGCAUUCAGGUCAGCAAAAGAAAAUAUAGGAGAAGAAGCUGGAACGCGCGCCAACUCAAGCACUGAUUUAAAGCUCUCGAUGGUGCUCUUGAUUUUUUAUCAAUGCAGUAAUACACAGCUUGGGACUUUGAUGGAAGCCAUUGAAGCGGGAAAUGUAUUAAGAGAGCUACCAAGAGUCAAAAGAUGAAAUCAAGGAUAGCGAUAGCAUAAGCUACAAGGAGAGGUAGGUUUCAUACAACUGUAGUUAUAGCGAUAACUGAUAAAUACAGAUAGUAUCGCACAAAUGUCCCUAGUGUAAAUACUUUUCAGCUGGGCAUAGUAAUCUCAUAUUGGAUGCUGUCCGAGUAACUAUUCUGAAUUAAAAGAAAUUCGAGGUUUUCUUUUAUA